AGCAGAGUGGCGCAGCAGAAGAAGCGUCCUGGGCCCCUAACCCAGAGGUCGAUGGAUGGAAACCAUCCUCUGCUA
This 75-nucleotide transfer RNA is filed under the name Perca flavescens (yellow perch). RNAcentral's name for it is "tRNA-Arg". The record is from RNAcentral. Lineage: Eukaryota; Metazoa; Chordata; Actinopteri; Perciformes; Percidae.